Molecule: ribosomal RNA, 492 nt
Filed under: uncultured bacterium
Lineage: Bacteria
Description: partial 16S ribosomal RNA
Rfam family: Bacterial small subunit ribosomal RNA
Source: RNAcentral
AGUGAACGCUGGCGGUAGGCCUGACACAUGCAAGUCGAACGGCAGCACAGUAAGAGCUUGCUCUUACGGGUGGCGAGUGGCGGACGGGUGAGGAACACAUCGGAAUCUACUUUUUCGUGGGGGAUAACGUAGGGAAACUUACGCUAAUACCGCAUACGACCUACGGGUGAAAGCAGGGGAUCUUCGGACCUUGCGCGAUUGAAUGAGCCGAUGUCGGAUUAGCUAGUUGGCGGGGUAAAGGCCCACCAAGGCGACGAUCCGUAGCUGGUCUGAGAGGAUGAUCAGCCACACUGGAACUGAGACACGGUCCAGACUCCUACGGGAGGCAGCAGUGGGGAAUAUUGGACAAUGGGCGCAAGCCUGAUCCAGCCAUACCGCGUGGGUGAAGAAGGCCUUCGGGUUGUAAAGCCCUUUUGUUGGGAAAGAAAAGCAGCAGGUUAAUACCCCGCUGUUCUGACGGUACCCAAAGAAUAAGCACCGGCUAACUUCGUG